GUAGGAGCUGGCUUGCCAGCGAUAGCCAUUUGACAGUCAGCAUCUGUGCUGACUGAUCCUCCGCCAUCGCUGGCAAGCCAGCGCCUAC
RNAcentral lists this unclassified non-coding RNA (88 nucleotides) under Pseudomonas reinekei. The record is from RNAcentral. Lineage: Bacteria; Pseudomonadati; Pseudomonadota; Gammaproteobacteria; Pseudomonadales; Pseudomonadaceae.